UCUACAAAUGUUAUUUUAUUUAUUUUUUUAUCUCUCUCCUCCCACUCUCUCUCUCUCCACCAACGAGAUUAUUUUUCCCGAGAGCUACCUUCAUUUUCCUCUUCUCCCUCCCUCCACUCGAAUAGAAGUUGGAAUCUCUCUCUUAUGAUGGCUCUCUCUCACAACAGAUCUUGUGACGACUGUUUUAAUUGGUCUUCUGUUUUGAAUUGAGGUUUUUCAGUUGCUGUUUUUCAGAUGUUUGAUUGUAAUUUACUGUUUGUUUUGCUAAUCUUCUGUUAUAAUUGAUGAGGAUAAAUGGCGAUGUGACUAUGAGUAAUACAAUGGUAUUGUUGAAGGAUGAACACUUUGUCCUUCAAUACAGUGGUACUGUUUAAUGCGCUGUUUUAAUUGGCAAUGCCGCAAUGUGACUAUGAGCAAUACAAUGAUAUUGUUUAAUGUGUUGUUUUAGUAACAUUUUGUCCUUCAAUAUUUUGUUGAAAGAUGAACACUUUAAUUGACGAGGAUCCAUUCUUCACCACACUGUCGGGAACUGGUGAGGGUGAUAUUAAUAAUCCACCUAUGGAUAGUGCAAAUGUUGAUGUCCAACCGACACAACCCCAAUGGGAAACUAGGACACCUAAACAAAAAUCUCAGCAGGGUGUGUCAUUUGCUACAGAGGAAGAUACUCUCCUCGUUUCAGAUUGACUUAACAUUAGUAGACUCUAUACGGGGACUGACCAAACCUCCAUACAAUUGUGGAGUAGAAUCUAUGAUUACUACAACACCUAUAAAAAAACUAAUAGCCCAGAAUGGUCUAUACCCUCUUUGACCAAUCGGUGGUCAAGCAUUCAAAAAUGUGUUAAUAAAUUUAUGGUUCCAUAUCCCAAGUUGAAGGAAUGCAUCCAAACAGUGCGACCUAGCUAGACAAGGUAUAAUGAUUUUUUCAAUGUUUUAUUGUUGUAAUUAUUAAGUAUUUUCAAUAAUAGAGCAUACUGAUUGUGGAACUAUUUUGUAGAUUGAUAAGGCAAAAACUUUGUAUCGAGAGACCCAAAAAAUGAACUUCAAUAUGAAACAUUGUUUGAAUCUUUUAAGACACCAAUUGAAAUGGCAAGCGCACAUGGAACUCAUAAGAAGAAAAGACAAUGUGUAGACAAGUUAA
This is a long non-coding RNA of Juglans microcarpa x Juglans regia, 1138 nucleotides long. RefSeq lists it as uncharacterized. The record is from RefSeq and is a predicted model, not a curated record. The transcript is spliced from 3 exons. Lineage: Eukaryota; Viridiplantae; Streptophyta; Magnoliopsida; Fagales; Juglandaceae.